RNAcentral lists this transfer RNA (77 nucleotides) under Burkholderia glumae. RNAcentral's name for it is "tRNA-Pro". It matches the Rfam family "tRNA". From Rfam's summary of the family: Transfer RNA (tRNA) molecules are approximately 80 nucleotides in length. Their secondary structure includes four short double-helical elements and three loops (D, anti-codon, and T loops). Lineage: Bacteria; Pseudomonadati; Pseudomonadota; Betaproteobacteria; Burkholderiales; Burkholderiaceae. The record is from RNAcentral.
CCGGGUGUAGCGUCAUUUGAGAACACAUUCGGUUUGGGACCGAAAGACAGCAGGUUUGAAUUCCGCCACCCCGACCA